AGAGUCGAUCGGACAGUCGCUGUUGCAUUACUUUGGUAAUGCGAGGGAGGAAAGUCCGGGCUCCGUAGGGCGAAGUGCCAGGUAACUCCUGGGAGGCGUGAGCCUAUGGAAAGUGCCGCAGAAAAUAACCGCCUAAGCACGCAAGUGCCGGUAAGGGUGAAAAGGUGCGGUAAGAGCGCACCGCACGGCUGGUAACAGUCCGUGGCUAGGUAAACCCCACUUGGAGCAAGACCAAAUAGGAGUCCAUUGGCGUGGCCCGCGCUGGACUCGGGUAGGUUGCUUGAGGUCGUCAGUGAUGGCGAUCCUAGAGGAAUGACUGUUCACGACAAAACCCGGCUUACAGAUCGACUCUCCAC
Molecule: RNase P RNA, 356 nt
Filed under: Thiopseudomonas sp.
Lineage: Bacteria; Pseudomonadati; Pseudomonadota; Gammaproteobacteria; Pseudomonadales; Pseudomonadaceae
Description: RNase P RNA component class A
Rfam family: Bacterial RNase P class A
About the family: Ribonuclease P (RNase P) is a ubiquitous endoribonuclease, found in archaea, bacteria and eukarya as well as chloroplasts and mitochondria. Its best characterised activity is the generation of mature 5'-ends of tRNAs by cleaving the 5'-leader elements of precursor-tRNAs.
Source: RNAcentral